AAGCAGCGGAGCAUGUGGCUUAAUUCGAAGCAACGCGAAGAACUUACCAGGGCUUGACAUCCCUCUGACAGUCCCUUAACCGGGACCUUCUUCGGACAGAGGAGACAGGUGGUGCAUGGUUGUCGUCAGCUCGUGUCGUGAGAUGUUGGGUUAAGUCCCGCAACGAGCGCAACCCCUAUUGUUAGUUGCCAUCAUUCAGUUGGGCACUCUAGCGAGACUGCCGGUAAUAAACCGGAGGAAGGUGGGAUGACGUCAAAUCAUCAUGCCCCUUAUGACCUGGGCUACACACGUGCUACAAUGGUUGGUACAACGAGUUGCGAGUCGGUGACGGCGAGCUAAUCUCUUAAAGCCAAUCUCAGUUCGGAUUGUAGGCUGCAACUCGCCUACAUGAAGUCGGAAUCGCUAGUAAUCGCGGAUCAGCACGCCGCGGUGAAUACGUUCCCGGGCCUU
RNAcentral lists this ribosomal RNA (450 nucleotides) under uncultured Lachnospiraceae bacterium. RNAcentral describes it as "bacterial SSU rRNA". It matches the Rfam family "Bacterial small subunit ribosomal RNA", at positions 927 to 1382 of the family's 1533-position model. The record is from RNAcentral. Lineage: Bacteria; Bacillati; Bacillota; Clostridia; Lachnospirales; Lachnospiraceae.